This 454-nucleotide ribosomal RNA is filed under the name uncultured bacterium. RNAcentral's name for it is "partial 16S ribosomal RNA". It matches the Rfam family "Bacterial small subunit ribosomal RNA", at positions 28 to 507 of the family's 1533-position model. The record is from RNAcentral.
GAUGAACGCUGACAGAAUGCUUAACACAUGCAAGUCUACUUGAACUUCGGUUUGGGUGGCGGACGGGUGAGUAACGCGUACAGAACUUGCCUCACAGAUAGGGACAACAUUUGGAAACGAAUGCUAAUACCUGAUAUUAUUAUUUUAGGGCAUCCUAGCAUUAUGAAAGCUAUAUGCACUGUGAGAGAGCUUUGCGUCCCAUUCGCUAGUUGGAGAGGUAACGGCUCACCAAGGCGAUGAUGGGUAGCCGGCCUGAGAGGGUGAUCGGCCACAAGGGGACUGAGACAGGGCCCUUACGUCUGCGGGAGGCAGGAGUGGGGAAUAUUGGACAAUGGACCAAGAGUAUGAUGCAGCAAUUCUGUGUGGACGAUGAAGUUUUUCGGAAUGUAAAGUGCUUUCAGUUGGGAAGAAAAAAAUGACGGUACCAACAGAAGAAGCGACGGCUAAAUACGUG